RNA transcript from Quercus robur (English oak), 2405 nucleotides. It is a transcript of the gene named amidase 1-like, with no coding region annotated. The transcript is spliced from 6 exons. Lineage: Eukaryota; Viridiplantae; Streptophyta; Magnoliopsida; Fagales; Fagaceae. The record is from RefSeq and is a predicted model, not a curated record.
AAAAAAAAAAGGAGGGGAGAAUGUAGGGGUGUUUGGUCGUAGUAAUUAUCUUAUCUUUUUUGUGGAUUUGCCGCUCCCAUAGAAUAAACACCAAAAGAUACUGCCUUGUUUGGUGGGCCAUAAGAAAUAAACAAAUUUGUCUACAAGUGGGUAGGAAAUAUUUCUCUCAACAACGUAGAAUUUUUUGGGCCCGUGCGCAGUAAAUUACUCCUAAUUUUUUUUUUCAAUUGAAAAUAGAAAAGAACUGAAGUUAUUAAAAAUGAAAAAACUUUGUGAAAACAUUAGACAAGGGCAAACGUUACUUUUGAAUUAUUACAAGAUAAUGAAGUGACAUAAGAAUGUCUUUAAAGAUAGUAAUCCGUUUUGCAUGAAUUAAAAAUUUAAUGGCAAAUGUGCUUUGAUAUAGAAGAAAGGUAACUGCUCAUCAGCAGAUUUUAGUGUAAUUCACUUCUCUUGCACAAGACAAAUGAUAACAACGUACUUAUUAUGGACACAACUUUUAUCUAGUGCAGUACACGUUAGAAUUUGGAUAAAUUUCAAUGUGUUCAGUACACUGAUACAGUGUAAUAUACAUUGGGAGACAAUUAUCUGAAUUCUAAUAUAUCUAAUCCAUUGAUGCUCUAGACACAAACUUUUAACUCUGUUAGUACAAGCACAAUGAGAUUGCGAGCCUUAAUCCAAGGGAUUGCUAGUAUUGGUUGUGUGGGAAAUGUGCUUUUAUACACUCUGUAAGCUUUGAUUUAUUUCCUAUUAUAAUUUGCACAUUCAAUAACUAGGAAUUUAAUUUUCAUUUUUGCUCUGUCAAGUGUGUUUGUGUAUUCAAAUUUAGUUUUCGUUCUUGUCGUGUCUAUCUAGUGUAUGUGACAGUGCAAGUGUAUUCGCCCUUGAAAGCUUCCAUGUCUAUGUUGAAAGGGAAGGCUUGAAUCCUUCGAUUAUGUUUAAUAUUGUUAUUUAACUUUGCAAUGAAUGAAUUAGAGUAGAUGCAAGGCAAUGCCACAGUGUUUUGAUUAGUACUUACCUAUGAACUUGAAAUAUGAGCUUCGAUGGAAUUGGUUCUUGUUGUUUCAAAUUGGGAUUCAUUUAGGGCUUAGUUGGGUGUUUUUGAAACAGCCUAGAACAGAGUCUAAAUAGAGAAAUCAAAGAUCUAGUAUGAGAACUAGGCUUUUAUAAAUUGUAUUCCUUCCUUUGAUUGGGCUGUUGAUACCUUCUAAACUCUAAAGACACUCUACAUCAGCUUGAAUUUUUUUUCUUGUCUUGGCAUUAAUCGCAUUACUUGGUCUGCCAAGAAAAAAACUCACACUAUUUUACUUCUCCACUGAAGUUGAAUACCAAUCAUUGCUUUCACUGCUACUUUAGUUAUGUUGGCUUUGUACAAUUUUGUAGGGCUUUGGGUGUUUUCAUUCAUCAUAUUCCUCGGAUUUGGCGUGACAAUGUUUCAGCACUAGCCAUUGCCACAAAUCAUGUCCAGGGGCAGAACAUAUAUGAAUUCAAAACAAAUCAUGAAGAAUGGGUAAAUUUAGUCAAACCCAAGCUAGGACCUGAUGUGUCUGAUCGAGUUCUUGCAGCAAUUAAUACCACACACGAGAACAUUAAAAUUUUAUAUAAAGUCAGAACUGAGAUGUGGGCUGCCCUUCAAAAUCUCUUAAAGGAGAUUGGAAGCUUGACUUUUGACAAAGAUGAUCAGUUAGUUAAGGAGUUUGUUAUUGCUGCUGCAAAUACAAGGAUGUCUUCUUUUUUGUACCUCUUUGCAUAGCCUUUUUAAAGCCAAAGGUCCAGAACAACACCAUAUACUGAAGCUGAGGGAUGUGUAUGGAAGCCACUUUAGUAGACAAUGACUUGCGUUACAGAUGUGCUCUUGUGAUUCAUGGAAUGCAAUCAUGUCAUUUUGUAGGAGGUUAAACAAGAAUGAAUGAUCCACAAGAGACACACACUUUGUUCCAAAUCAGUUAUGAAAUGAGGUACAUUGUUUAUGAAAUAAGGUACCCAAACUUUGUUCCAAAUCAAUUACGUUCAGUUUCUAUUUAUAGCAUGUGCACAAUUAUUUAUUUUUAUUUAUUGCAUUUCUUUUAGUUUUAGAUGGUUCUAAUUUGGUCAGUUUUAAUUUUAAGAAAUGAGUUUAUUCAAUUAUAAGCGUUUUCUUAUUUGAAUUUGAAUUUGAAUUUUGGAAAUGUUAAUAGAAUAAAUUACCUCCUUUAAAAUGUUGAAAGUUCAGUCCAAUCAUUUACUUUCACUUACCAAGUUUGCAUCUAUACAUUUGUAAAUUGCUAAUAUGUGACUUUUUUUGUGCUGGUUUUAUUUAUUUAUUUUUUUAGGUAGGUGCAUUUUCUUCCUAAAAUGAACUACCCUUAUUUGGCUUUUUAUUCAAGUUUGGCACUUACAACAAUGACUAAUGGACGACACUUUUU